UUGGCCUGGUGUCCCACGGCACCUGGACACUUGAGACUGCUGUCUCGGCCAGAGGUGUGGGCAGAGUGGGACGGGCUGGCGUUUCCAUGAAUCUCUUGCCAUCGGAGGUCAGCUCGAUGGUGACCGUGACGGGGGGAGCCGCCUGUUCAACACGGCCGCGCACCCCGCGGAAGAAGCCUAGGUCUCGGAGCCACCGCCUGGAGCAGGGCCGCGCCCUGACCUGGCACCUGCAUCAGCCUGUCCUGAGAAACCAUCCAUCCAUUCAACAAAUAUUUAUUGGACACCCGCAGCGUGACACGCAUGGUUCCGGCCCCAGGGGGUGGAGUUUCGGACGAAACGGGCAAGAUUCCUGCUCUUCAUGAGGCCCUGCAAAGGCCAGAGAGCAGCCCGAGAAGCCAUAUGGACGGAGGUGAAAACAGUGGAUUAAGAAUUACAUAUUGUGAGCUGACGCCUGGGAGCCAGCGUCCACCGGGUUUCUUCACUCUGUGCCUGGGACCCGCCCCUUCCCCCCAGGCCCCCGCGCCCCCUGCCCGCCUCCCCUGGCCUCCACACAUUUCAGGGUCCUGCUAGGAACCCAGCGCUAAGAUUUGGCUCCAUUUUAAUGACACGUCCAAGCGCCUUGCGGUCCGCGGCCCUUCUGAAAUUGUUUUAAUUGACGUUCCAUGAAUCCUGGCGGGUUCAGACGGAGUUCAUCUCGAAGCCCAUCCUGAUUUCAUUAAAGAUUUGAUCUUUCUUUUUUCACCAAUAAAACACUUAUUAUCGUUA
Molecule: long non-coding RNA, 765 nt
Organism: Myotis myotis
Lineage: Eukaryota; Metazoa; Chordata; Mammalia; Chiroptera; Vespertilionidae
Exons: 4
Source: RefSeq, a predicted model, not a curated record